Non-coding RNA from Schizosaccharomyces pombe (fission yeast), 1261 nucleotides. NCBI's taxonomy places the organism in Eukaryota, Fungi, Ascomycota, Schizosaccharomycetes, Schizosaccharomycetales, Schizosaccharomycetaceae. The record is from the annotation of a GenBank genome assembly.
AAUGUUGCAGUCGUAUGUAAGGCUCUGCUUGAUAAUUCUUUACGGAGAGUAGGUCUUUUCAAUAUCGGUUGUUGUGUAGUUAGAGUGAAACCCGGACACGAUAACGUUUGCAAGGGCUUGCUAAUUCCUAACUUAGGAAUAUGAAGUAGGGGGGAUUGUGAUGCUUCAAUUGUACAAUCUACAAACAUCUCAGCGGUACUGCUUUCAGGUUGUUCAUUAUGAUCCACAGGACUUGUAACACGCAUUUUCUGCAUAGAGUUUACUACGGUUUGCAUGUGUCUUUGAUAACGAGCAUCCAUGUCACGCAGUUGCUUUUCCAACUCACGUCGCAAUAUCUCUUCACGUUGGGCUAAGCGAGAAGCUAUAACGUUUUCGAGUUCACUUUCCCGAGCAGAAAGCCUUUGCUCGCGAAAUUGGAGAUCAUUUUCCAAUUGAAUAAGCAUCUGAUGUUUUUUAUGAAGCAAAUCGCUUUGUUCCAAGACUACUCUCUCGGAUUCCAAUUUACUACGAAUAUCGGAUAAAAUAGGAGAGCGAAGUAGCUGGUAAGUAGUAGGUCUGAGGUCUGAAUUAACUUCUAAGCAAUGCCUGAUUAGAAGGAAAACAUCGUCGCUGUAAUGAUGAUCCCAACAGGAGAGAUUACCCUGGCAAAUAUUACGUUGCAAUUCCAAAUACGACCUUCCUUCAAAGGGAUGCGUAAGCAUGCAGAUCUCAAAAAUAACACAGCCAAGAGCCCAAACAUCAGACUUCGCACUGUAAGGGCUGCUCCGAAUUAUUUCAGGAGACAUAUAGUAUGGAGUUCCCACGUAACUCUGUGUGAAGACACGCGUAUUGUCCAGCAAUUUGGAUAAACCAAAGUCUCCUAACUUAACUGAAUUAUUUUCAUCAAGAAAUAUAUUCGCAGGUUUGAUAUCUCGAUGCAAUACAGAUUGUUUAGGAUGAAAAAUUUCUCUUGGCCACUGUGAGUCACAAGCAGGCGCAUUUUCUCCAUAAUGGCAGCGAUACAGAGCAAGUAGUAAUUGCGUAAAAAAUUUGAGAACCUCUUGCUCGGUAAAUCUCUUUUUCUCUUCUUUAUAACGUUGAAUAAGAUUGGCUAAAUCACCAUGACCACAAUAUUCCAUAUAAAGGUUUAUUACCUGCGCAGAACGAUUCAAUUCUUCUCCGCAGUAUUGAACAAUAUUUGGAUGCUUAAGAUUACGAAGAAUAUUCACUUCAUCUGCGAUGUACUGCUUUUCCUGCCGAGUAAUGUUACCAAAGUGUAUUU